This 400-nucleotide ribosomal RNA is filed under the name uncultured bacterium. Its description in RNAcentral is "partial 16S ribosomal RNA". It matches the Rfam family "Bacterial small subunit ribosomal RNA", at positions 360 to 775 of the family's 1533-position model. The record is from RNAcentral.
AAUAUUGCACAAUGGAGGGAACUCUGAUGCAGCAACGCCGCGUGAUUGAAGAAGGUUUUCGGAUCGUAAAACUCUUUCAUUGGGGAAGAAUAAAUUACGGUACCAAAUGAGGAAGCCCCGGCUAACUACUAGCCCGCAGCUGCCGGAAUACGUAGGGGGCGAGCGUUGUCCGGAAUUACUGGGCGUCAAGGGUACGUAGGCGCCUAUAUAAGUCAGGUGUGAAAUACCAGUGCUUAACACUGGAAUUGCAUUUGAAACUGUGUAGCUUGAGUGCAGGAGAGGAAAGUGGAAUUCCUAGUGUAGCGGUGAAAUGCGUAGAGAUUAGGAGGAACACCAGUGGCGAAGGCGACUUUCUGGACUGUAACUGACGCUGAGGUACGAAAGCGUGGGUAGCGAACAG